UACGUAGGGUGCAAGCGUUGUCCGGAAUUAUUGGGCGUAAAGAGCUCGUAGGCGGUUCGUCGCGUCGGGAGUGAAAACCCAGGGCUUAACCCUGGGCUGGCUUCCGAUACGGGCAGACUAGAGGUAUGCAGGGGAGAACGGAAUUCCUGGUGUAGUGGUGAAAUGCGCAGAUAUCAGGAGGAACACCUAUGGCGAAGGCAGCUCGCUGGGACGGUACUGACGCUGAGACGCGAAAGCGUGGGGAGCGAACAGG
RNAcentral lists this ribosomal RNA (253 nucleotides) under uncultured bacterium. RNAcentral's name for it is "partial 16S ribosomal RNA". It matches the Rfam family "Bacterial small subunit ribosomal RNA", at positions 524 to 776 of the family's 1533-position model. The record is from RNAcentral.